Molecule: ribosomal RNA, 477 nt
Filed under: uncultured bacterium
Lineage: Bacteria
Description: partial 16S ribosomal RNA
Rfam family: Bacterial small subunit ribosomal RNA
Source: RNAcentral
AUUGAACGCUGGCGGCAUGCCUUACACAUGCAAGUCGAACGGUAACAGGUUAAGCUGCCGAGUGGCGAACGGGUGAGUAAUACAUCGGAACGUGCCCAGUAGUGGGGGAUAGCCCGGCGAAAGCCGGAUUAAUACCGCAUACGACCUAAGGGUGAAAGGGGGGGAUCGCAAGACCUCUCGCUAUUGGAGCGGCCGAUGUCAGAUUAGCUAGUUGGUGGGGUAAAAGCUCACCAAGGCGACGAUCUGUAGCUGGUCUGAGAGGACGACCAGCCACACUGGGACUGAGACACGGCCCAGACUCCUACGGGGGGCAGCAGUGGGGAAUUUUGGACAAUGGGCGCAAGCCUGAUCCAGCCAUGCCGCGUGCGGGAAGAAGGCCUUCGGGUUGUAAACCGCUUUUGUCAGGGAAGAAAUCCUUUGGGUUAAUACCUCGGGGGGAUGACGGUACCUGAAGAAUAAGCACCGGCUAACUACGUG